GAUGAACGCUAGCGGCAGGCCUAACACAUGCAAGUCGAGGGGCAUCAUAGUCUAGUUCGCUAGACGGGUGGCGACCGGCGCACGGGUGCGUAACGCGUAUGUAACCUACCAUUGACAGGGGGAUAGUCAGAGGAAACUUUGAAUAAUACCGCAUAACAUAUAUAAGAGGCAUCUUUUGUAUAUCAAAAUUACGAUGGUCAAUGAUGGGCAUGCGUUUGAUUAGAUAGUUGGUAAGGUAACGGCUUACCAAGUCGACGAUCAAUAGGGGUUCUGAGAGGAUAAUCCCCCCACACUGGUACUGAGAUACGGACCAGACUCCUACGGGAGGCAGCAGUGAGGAAUAUUGGGCAAUGGACGGAAGUCUGACCCAGCCAUGCCGCGUGCAGGAAGACGGCCCUAUGGGUUGUAAACUGCCUUUUUAGAGGAAUAAUAAGUCUCACGUGUGGGACGAUGAAUGUACCUGGAGAAAAAGC
RNAcentral lists this ribosomal RNA (473 nucleotides) under uncultured bacterium. RNAcentral's name for it is "bacterial SSU rRNA". It matches the Rfam family "Bacterial small subunit ribosomal RNA", at positions 28 to 491 of the family's 1533-position model. The record is from RNAcentral.